CAGGGAGCGCGUUUUCUGACUGAGAGCUCUUUCUAGAUUCUAUGGGUGGUGGUGCAUGGCCGUUCUUACUUGGUAGAGCGAUUUGUCUGGUUAAUUCCGUUAACGAACGAGACCUCAGCCUGCUAACUAGCUAUGCGGAGGUAUCCCUUCGUGGCCAGCUUCUUAGAGGGACUACGGCCUUUUAGGCCGCGGAAGAUUGAGGCCAUAACAAGUCUGUGAUGCCCUUAGAU
Erythranthe guttata (spotted monkey flower) is the source of this 230-nucleotide non-coding RNA. Lineage: Eukaryota; Viridiplantae; Streptophyta; Magnoliopsida; Lamiales; Phrymaceae. The record is from Rfam.